This 446-nucleotide ribosomal RNA is filed under the name uncultured bacterium. RNAcentral's name for it is "bacterial SSU rRNA". It matches the Rfam family "Bacterial small subunit ribosomal RNA", at positions 330 to 792 of the family's 1533-position model. The record is from RNAcentral.
CCCAGACUCCUACGGGAGGCAGCAGUGGGGGAUAUUGCACAAUGGGGGAAACCCUGAUGCAGCGACGCCGCGUGUGGGAAGACGGUCUUCUGGAUUGUAAACCACUGUCCCCAGGGACGAAAAUGACGGUACCUGGGGAGGAAGCCCCGGCUAACUACGUGCCAGCAGCCGCGGUAAUACGUAGGGGGCGAGCGUUAUCCGGAUUCACUGGGUGUAAAGGGAGCGUAGACGGCCAUGCAAGCCAGGGGUGAAAGCCCGGGGCCCAACCCCGGGACUGCCCUUGGAACUGCAUGGCUGGAGUGCGGGAGGGGCAGGCGGAAUUCCUGGUGUAGCGGUGAAAUGCGUAGAUAUCAGGAGGAACACCGGCGGCGAAGGCGGCUUACUGGACUGUAACUGACGUUGAGGCUCGAAAGCGUGGGGAGCAAACAGGAUUAGAUACCCGUGUA